AUUCUCAUUAACUCAAAGGUAGAGUAUAAUAUUUAUAAUAUUAUGAUUUUAGUUCGAAUCUAAAAGGAGGAUGC
Molecule: transfer RNA, 74 nt
Filed under: Nemania diffusa
Lineage: Eukaryota; Fungi; Ascomycota; Sordariomycetes; Xylariales; Xylariaceae
Description: tRNA-Ile
Rfam family: tRNA
About the family: Transfer RNA (tRNA) molecules are approximately 80 nucleotides in length.
Source: RNAcentral